This 429-nucleotide ribosomal RNA is filed under the name Chloroflexota bacterium. RNAcentral's name for it is "Chloroflexi bacterium partial 16S ribosomal RNA". It matches the Rfam family "Bacterial small subunit ribosomal RNA", at positions 355 to 776 of the family's 1533-position model. The record is from RNAcentral. Lineage: Bacteria; Bacillati; Chloroflexota.
UGGGGAAUAUUGCACAAUGGGCGCAAGCCUGAUGCAGCCAUGCCGCGUGUGUGAAGAAGGCCUUCGGGUUGUAAAGUACUUUCAGUCGGGAGGAAGGUGGUAAGGUUAAUAACCUUAUCAAUUGACGUUACCGACAGAAGAAGCACCGGCUAACUCCGUGCCAGCAGCCGCGGUAAUACGGAGGGUGCAAGCGUUAAUCGGAAUUACUGGGCGUAAAGCGCACGCAGGCGGUUGAUUGAGUCAGAUGUGAAAUCCCCGGGCUCAACCUGGGAACUGCAUCUGAUACUGGCAAGCUUGAGUCUCGUAGAGGGGGGUAGAAUUCCAGGUGUAGCGGUGAAAUGCGUAGAGAUCUGGAGGAAUACCGGUGGCGAAGGCGGCCCCCUGGACGAAGACUGACGCUCAGGUGCGAAAGCGUGGGGAGCAAACAGG